GGUGGGGUGGCUGAGCGGUUGAAGGCGGCGGUCUUGAAAACCGUUAGAGGAGCAAUCCUCUCGUGAGUUCGAAUCUCACCCCCACCG
Molecule: transfer RNA, 87 nt
Rfam family: tRNA
About the family: Transfer RNA (tRNA) molecules are approximately 80 nucleotides in length.